GACCACUACGGUGGCCUAGUGGUAUGAGCGUCCGCCUCGGAUGAGAUAGGUCGUGGGUUCGAUACCCGGUUGAGUCA
This is a non-coding RNA of Potamilus streckersoni, 77 nucleotides long. The record is from the annotation of a GenBank genome assembly. NCBI's taxonomy places the organism in Eukaryota, Metazoa, Mollusca, Bivalvia, Unionida, Unionidae.